UCAAGAAACUUCCACAAUGGGCGAAAGCCUGAUGGAGCGACGUCGCGUGAUGGACGAAGUGCUUCGGCACGUAAACAUCUUUUUAUGUGGGAUGAAAUUAUUGACAGUACCACAUGAAUAAGGGGCUCCUAACUCUGUGCCAGCAGGAGCGGUAAUACAGAGGCCCCAAGCGUUAUCCGGAAUCACUGGGCGUAAAGGGUGUCGAGGCGGUUGUAUUAGUCGUUCGUAAAAUCUACGAGCUUAACUUGUAGGCGGCGAACGAAACGGUACGACUUGAGGUUUGGAGAGGUGCGUGGAACUCACGGUGUAGGGGUGAAAUCCGUUGAUAUCGUGGGGAACACCAAAGGCGAAGGCAGCGCACUGGCCAAAAUCUGACGCUCACACACGAAAGCUAGGGGAGCAAACGGGAUUAGAUACCCACGUAGUCCCUGAGCGGGCUGGCAAGGCGCAU
Molecule: ribosomal RNA, 451 nt
Filed under: uncultured bacterium
Lineage: Bacteria
Description: bacterial SSU rRNA
Rfam family: Bacterial small subunit ribosomal RNA
Source: RNAcentral